RNAcentral lists this unclassified non-coding RNA (345 nucleotides) under soil metagenome. Its description in RNAcentral is "partial contains 5.8S ribosomal RNA, internal transcribed spacer 2, and large subunit ribosomal RNA". The stretch from base 1 to 120 matches the Rfam family "5.8S ribosomal RNA", at positions 35 to 154 of the family's 154-position model. The record is from RNAcentral.
GAUGAAGAACGUAGCGAAAUGCGAUAAGUAAUGUGAAUUGCAGAAUUCAGUGAAUCAUCGAAUCUUUGAACGCACAUUGCGCCCCUUGGUAUUCCGGGGGGCAUGCCUGUUCGAGCGUCAUUGCUGCCCUCAAGCACGGCUUGUGUGUUGGGCCUCCGUCCUCCUCCCGGGGGACGGGCCCGAAAGGCAGCGGCGGCACCGCGUCCGGUCCUCGAGCGUAUGGGGCUUCGUCACCCGCUCUUGUAGGCCCGGCCGGCGCUUGCCGACACAUCAAUCUUUUUUCCAGGUUGACCUCGGAUCAGGUAGGGAUACCCGCUGAACUUAAGCAUAUCAAUAAGCGGAGGA